This 204-nucleotide small nucleolar RNA is filed under the name Chinchilla lanigera (long-tailed chinchilla). Its description in RNAcentral is "Small nucleolar RNA SNORA73 family (ENSCLAG00000019944.1)". It matches the Rfam family "Small nucleolar RNA SNORA73 family". From Rfam's summary of the family: U17 (SNORA73A and SNORA73B) also known as E1 belongs to the H/ACA class of small nucleolar RNAs (snoRNAs). The record is from Rfam by way of RNAcentral. Lineage: Eukaryota; Metazoa; Chordata; Mammalia; Rodentia; Chinchillidae.
CCACCAUAGAUACCCCGGGAGGUCACUCUCCCUGGGCUGUGUCCUGGUGUCAUAGGGGAGCAUAGGGCUCUACCCCAUGAUAUACAGUCCCUUUCCACAACAUUGGAGAGGAAGCUGGGCCUCGUGUCUGCGCCUGCAUAUUCCUACAGCUUCUCAGAGUCCUUUGGACAAUAACCGAGGAGAUAAACUAUGCAGGAAACAAUG